AUGCUCUCAGCGUAUCAUGAUCAGGGACUCCUCCAAUGACACACCUGCUCCAAAACCUAAACAGCAACCCUUGAUCUCUUUCGAUAGGAGAGGCUUACACUUACCUACAUGUCAAAGUAGCAGCAGUCUUAUAAAUACCUUUUUUAAGUGACGUUUAAAUAAGUUUAAUGGCCUUUUAAAUGACUCACCUGGUGCUAUAAACUUGUAGACUUGAAGACAGCGGAAAAUGGAUAAUCUUGAUAACUUCCCAGCUGCAACGAGACUAUCCCCGAUCACUUCAUCUGCGUUGUCUUGUCUCUUCCCUCAUUAAAACGUGUCCUGGGAGCGCUGCUCAGACUCAAAUGUGCAUCCCUAUUGGCAGUAUGGAAAGGUUUCUGUGGCGCGGAGCGACUGCACUUUAAAUAGCUAAUCCCCGGAGCAUGAGAGGUCAGAGGUCACCAUCGACUGUAUGACGUCAUCACUGGUGCUGGUUUGGAGUUUCAGGAUUUGUUCACCUACAUCUUUGCUGUCGCGGCAGUCCCCACAGAUGCAUCCCAAGCAGCCGUUGACCACCUGGAUGCCGCAGAGUGCCAGCUGCACCACUCCCAUGGCCAGCAGUAUGGAGAACAGAACGACGUGCCACAUCACUGCGUUGUCAGGGUAAAUACAGAUUGUCCACAGAGUCUGGUUUACAAGGUAGCUGCCAUUACCACUGUGAGGGAGAAGAGCAGUAGAAAUAAUCACUGUCCAAGAUACACACCACAGAAUGAUUGAAAAGAUGUGUGAAGUUCAGGGUGCGGGAAGAAAAAGUCAAAAAAGAUGACUGAGUUGAGGAAAGAUGUGUCAGUAAGAAGGUGAAAGGAACAAGUGAGGAGUGGAGAAUAAAAGCACAUGGAAAAUAGGAAGCAGAGGGAGCUCUUGAUGUUGUUAUGGAGAAAGGGACAUUUAGCUGUUUCAAAAUGAAUAAAGGUGAUUCAUUCAGGUUCA
Long non-coding RNA from Perca flavescens (yellow perch), 966 nucleotides. RefSeq lists it as uncharacterized. The record is from RefSeq and is a predicted model, not a curated record. The transcript has 3 exons. Lineage: Eukaryota; Metazoa; Chordata; Actinopteri; Perciformes; Percidae.